UUGCUCUAUGUUGAAAAUAUUUAGUUUUGUAUUUCUUUAAGAUUAAUUGAACCACACGGAAAGUAAAUACGAAGGCAUUCUUUCGGCAAGUAAAUACAAUAAUAAAUGACAAACAUUUUUUACGAGAGCACAUAAAAAUGGGGAUAGAAAAAAACGAAGUUGUUGCAGAAUCAAGUGAAGAUGAUAGUGGAGUUGUGCACACAGGAAACGGAAGAAUUUCAAAUUCCCUAUUUGUAAGACCGAACGCUUCUCCUGGUUACUGGCUGUGUUUGCUACUUCCACUUGCCUUUGCAUCAAACUUAAUACACGAAAACAAAUGUAAUGGACAAGUUUCCACGCAACCCAUACUCACAAUUGCCGCAAUCGGUAUGAGCAUAGAUACCCUCUGUUUGUUUCUGUAUAUAUUCUGCAAGACGGGUUUGCUGCUGAAACUAUUUAUUUCAUUUGUACCUGGCUUUAUUACCGCAAUACUAUACAAGGUUUUAUUGCAACAGUCAUGGAGCUAUGGACUAUUUUGGGGCUUUAUCAUAACCUUCAUUUAUCAGAAUUCUUAUAUUCGUGUGCUACGUGGAUUACCCGGUUGCUUUAGUUUUGGCGAGGCAUCUAUACUCGUUCAGGGGUUGAUGCUUUUCCUAUUAAAUGUAAUUUUAAAGUUUUUUACUUUAUUGCUGAAAACUGAAAACAGGAGUACAUUUGAAGAUCUAAAUAUUAUAAUGAUGUGUGCACUAACCUAUCUUUUUGCGAUGUGUGGAUUACUAUCGGCUGUCAAAGUUCUACGUGAGCCUACCUACUUUUAUGCUUUAAUGUUUAUUUUAGUUAUAGGCGUAACAACCACUCCUAUUACGGAUCCAGUGCCAAUAACUUUCUUAUUUAUUUUUAUAGUACAAGACCAAGUCAGGGUAUACAUAGUUGUUUUCUACGUAAUAAUGGUGGUGUUGACAAUUUUGACUGUGUGGUGGCAAAUUGCCAAUGAGGAAAAAGCUUCCACAAGAAUACGAAAAAUAUUUCAUGCACUUAUUGUGCUUGUGUUCAUACCUGGAAUAAUUUAUCAAUGUAGUUUUCUAUAUAUUGCUACAGGAGUAGCUUUUGCAAUUUUUACUGUUUUUGAACUAAUUCGUGUUUGCAACAUACCGCCUUUGGCUAUACCUUUGCGCAGAGCAUUUGCAUCAUUCUCCGACGAAAAAGAUGCUGGUUUGCUCGCAUUAACACCAUUCUGUCUGCUUAUUGGCUGUUCCAUGCCUCUUUGGAUAAGCUCUUGUCCUUGUGGGGAAAAUGAGUUACUUUCAAUUUUAGCUGGAGUUCUGACAAUCGGAUUCGGCGAUACUGCUGCCAGUGUGGUUGGUUCGAAAUUUGGUCGCAUUAAGUGGCGUAGUUCGAAAAAAUCUUUAGAAGGCACUUUAGCAUUUAUUGUGAUAACUUUUUUGGCAACAAUGUUUUUAAACUACUUUGGUUAUACUAAAUUGUCGCCUAUGAAGUGGUUUAGCACAUUAACAGCAAUAUUAACAACUUCCUUGGUUGAGGCGCAUACAGAUCAAAUCGAUAAUUUAACCCUUCCCAUAAUAUUUUAUAUAAUUGUGAAUAUAUUUUAAGAUUAAUUACCGUCUUGACUGAAAAGUACUUAGAAUUUAUUUUAGUUAGGUAUACAACUUUUAAAUAUUUAGAUAUGAAAGUUUUAGUCCAAUAAACUGAAAAGUCAGAAUUUGGUAAAGAAAAUUAUUUUUACAUAUGUACUAAUACAGUACUAUGUACAUAUAUUUAAAUUGAUGAUCCCACCAUAAUAAUUAUUCUAUAUUCCAUAUAUGGGUAAUGUAGUAGAUGUCAUGAAUUCAGAACAUACCAAUGUUUCAAACAGAAGCUGUAUCGAGUUUGCGAGUAUACGAGUAACUAAAACUAGUUUUGUCGGUUUUGUUAUCAGAACAAAGCAAGAAUAUAGUCGUUAACAGAAUUGAAAUCUUUUAAGAUGUGGGUAGGAUGGAUAUGACUAUGCUUUCAAUUAAAAUGAUUUGAAGGCAAUGGUGAUUAGGAUAAAGUGGUACCGCAUCCGAACUGCUCGUAGGAAAGAAUGGUCGCAUCUAAAAAUAAAAUUGUAUUCUAUAUUUGACACCCGACAUAUCUUUCGAUUUGAUUCUAAAGAAAAUGUUUGACAAUUUGCAAGCUAAGCUUCCAAUUUCUAAAAACGUUCAGUACUUCUACUGGAAAAUGAUUUUUUUAAUCAAUUUUAUAUGCAAUACGCCACCUCAUAAAAUCUUCCAAUAUAAAAAUUGUGUAUUCUUCGCUGACAAAGUUGAGAAGAUGGAUUACCGAAAACGUUGUUGCAGUGAGA
This 2323-nucleotide unclassified non-coding RNA is filed under the name Bactrocera latifrons. Its description in RNAcentral is "dolichol kinase, transcript variant X1". Lineage: Eukaryota; Metazoa; Arthropoda; Insecta; Diptera; Tephritidae. The record is from RNAcentral.